This 1506-nucleotide ribosomal RNA is filed under the name metagenome. Its description in RNAcentral is "bacterial SSU rRNA". It matches the Rfam family "Bacterial small subunit ribosomal RNA". The record is from RNAcentral.
AGAGUUUGAUCCUGGCUCAGGACGAACGCCGGUGGCGUGCCUAAUACAUGCAAGUAGAACGCUGAAGAGAGGAGCUUGCUCUUCUUGGAUGAGUUGCGAACGGAUGAGUAACGCGUAGGUAACCUGCCUUGUAGCGGGGGAUAACUAUUGGAAACGAUAGCUAAUACCGCAUAACAAUGGAUGACACAUGUCAUUUAUUUGAAAGGGGCAAUUGUUCCACUACAAGAUGGACCUGCGUUGUAUUAGCUAGUAGGUGAGGUAAUGGCUUACCUAGGCGACGAUACAUAGCCGACCUGAGAGGGUGAUCGGCCACACUGGGACUGAGACACGGCCCAGACUCCUACGGGAGGCAGCAGUAGGGAAUCUUCGGCAAUGGGGGCAACCCUGACCGAGCAACGCCGCGUGAGUGAAGAAGGUUUUCGGAUCGUAAAGCUCUGUUGUAAGUCAAGAACGGGUGUGAGAGUGGAAAGUUCACACUGUGACGGUAGCUUACCAGAAAGGGACGGCUAACUACGUGCCAGCAGCCGCGGUAAUACGUAGGUCCCGAGCGUUGUCCGGAUUUAUUGGGCGUAAAGCGAGCGCAGGCGGUUUGAUAAGUCUGAAGUUAAAGGCUGUGGCUCAACCAUAGUUCGCUUUGGAAACUGUCAAACUUGAGUGCAGAAGGGGAGAGUGGAAUUCCAUGUGUAGCGGUGAAAUGCGUAGAUAUAUGGAGGAACACCGGUGGCGAAAGCGGCUCUCUGGUCUGUAACUGACGCUGAGGCUCGAAAGCGUGGGGAGCGAACAGGAUUAGAUACCCUGGUAGUCCACGCCGUAAACGAUGAGUGCUAGGUGUUGGAUCCUUUCCGGGAUUCAGUGCCGCAGCUAACGCAUUAAGCACUCCGCCUGGGGAGUACGACCGCAAGGUUGAAACUCAAAGGAAUUGACGGGGGCCCGCACAAGCGGUGGAGCAUGUGGUUUAAUUCGAAGCAACGCGAAGAACCUUACCAGGUCUUGACAUCCCGAUGCUAUUUCUAGAGAUAGAAAGUUACUUCGGUACAUCGGUGACAGGUGGUGCAUGGUUGUCGUCAGCUCGUGUCGUGAGAUGUUGGGUUAAGUCCCGCAACGAGCGCAACCCCUAUUGUUAGUUGCCAUCAUUCAGUUGGGCACUCUAGCGAGACUGCCGGUAAUAAACCGGAGGAAGGUGGGGAUGACGUCAAAUCAUCAUGCCCCUUAUGACCUGGGCUACACACGUGCUACAAUGGUUGGUACAACGAGUUGCGAGUCGGUGACGGCGAGCUAAUCUCUUAAAGCCAAUCUCAGUUCGGAUUGUAGGCUGCAACUCGCCUACAUGAAGUCGGAAUCGCUAGUAAUCGCGGAUCAGCACGCCGCGGUGAAUACGUUCCCGGGCCUUGUACACACCGCCCGUCACACCACGAGAGUUUGUAACACCCGAAGUCGGUGAGGUAACCUUUUGGAGCCAGCCGCCUAAGGUGGGACAGAUGAUUGGGGUGAAGUCGUAACAAGGUA